Molecule: small RNA, 274 nt
Filed under: Callithrix jacchus (white-tufted-ear marmoset)
Lineage: Eukaryota; Metazoa; Chordata; Mammalia; Primates; Cebidae
Description: Metazoan signal recognition particle RNA (ENSCJAG00000074821.1)
Source: RNAcentral
GCUGGGCAUGGUGGUGCGUGCCUGUAAUCCCAGCUACUCGGGAGGCUGAGGCAGGAGAAUUGCCUGAACCCAGGAGGCGGAGGUUGCUGUGAGCCAAGAUCGUGCCAUUGCACUCCAGCCUGGGUAACAAGAGCAAAACUCCGUCUCAAAAAAAAAAGUGUGUGUGUUUGACACAGAGUCUGUUUUGCUCUUUUGCCCAGGCUGAACUUCAGUGGCACAAUCUUGGCUCACUGCAACCUCUGCCUCCUGGGUUCAAUCCAUUCUCAUGCCUCAG